GAUGAACGCUGGCGGCGUGCUUAACACAUGCAAGUCGAACGGAAAGGCUCCAGCUUGCUGGAGUACUCGAGUGGCGAACGGGUGAGUAACACGUGGGUAAUCUGCCCUGCACUCUGGGAUAAGCCUGGGAAACUGGGUCUAAUACUGGAUAUGACCUUUCUCCUUAUGGGGUUUGGUGGAAAGUUUUUCGGUGUAGGAUGAGCCCGCGGCCUAUCAGCUUGUUGGUGGGGUGAUGGCCUACCAAGGCGACGACGGGUAGCCGGCCUGAGAGGGUGAUCGGCCACAUUGGGACUGAGAUACGGCCCAGACUCCUACGGGAGGCAACAGUGGGGAAUAUUGCACAAUGGGCGGAAGCCUGAUGCAGCGACGCCGCGUGAGGGAUGACGGCCUUCGGGUUGUAAACCUCUUUCAGCAGGGACGAAGCGUAAGUGACGGUACCUGCAGAAGAAGCACCGGCUAACUACGU
This 466-nucleotide ribosomal RNA is filed under the name uncultured bacterium. Its description in RNAcentral is "partial 16S ribosomal RNA". It matches the Rfam family "Bacterial small subunit ribosomal RNA", at positions 28 to 506 of the family's 1533-position model. The record is from RNAcentral.